This 297-nucleotide unclassified non-coding RNA is filed under the name Calcarisporiella sp. RNAcentral describes it as "partial internal transcribed spacer region". The stretch from base 1 to 46 matches the Rfam family "Eukaryotic small subunit ribosomal RNA", at positions 1786 to 1831 of the family's 1831-position model. Lineage: Eukaryota; Fungi; Calcarisporiellomycota; Calcarisporiellomycetes; Calcarisporiellales; Calcarisporiellaceae. The record is from RNAcentral.
AAGUCGUAACAAGGUUUCCGUAGGUGAACCUGCGGAAGGAUCAUUAUAGAAUUGUUCUUAUUAUACGGGACUAUUCGACCGUAUCCAUCCACACCGGGGGUAAAAUUUUGGGUGUAAAUAUUUUCAAAGAUAUUUCGGCCGAAUUUUAUUCUCGUAGGGAAUUCAGGCCAAAUUCUUUCGAAAGGGAGAGUUUGACUUGGAAUCCUGUCUGACCUUUGCCUAAAAUUUAUUUUUUGACUGAAACUUUUAUUUUAUUAAAAAUAAAAACAACUUUCAACAACGGAUCUCUUGGCUCUC